GACGAACGCUGGCGGCGUGCUUAACACAUGCAAGUCGAACGGUAAGGCCCUUCGGGGUACACGAGUGGCGAACGGGUGAGUAACACGUGGGUGAUUUGCCCUGCACUUCGGGAUAAGCCUGGGAAACUGGGUCUAAUACCGGAUAGGACACUGCCUGCAUGGGUGGUGGUGGAAAGCUUUUGCGGUGUGGGAUGGGCCCGCGUCUGAUUAGCUAGUUGGUGAGGUAAUGGCUCGCCAAGGCGACGAUCAGUAGCUGGUCUGAGAGGAUGAUCAGCCACACUGGGACUGAGACACGGCCCAGACUCCUACGGGAGGCAGCAGUGGGGAAUAUUGGACAAUGGGGGCAACCCUGAUCCAGCCAUGCCGCGUGAGUGAUGAAGGCCUUAGGGUUGUAAAGCUCUUUUACCCGGGACGAUAAUGACUGUACCGGGAGAAUAAGCCCCGGCUAACUUCGUGCCAGCAGCCGCAGUAA
This 472-nucleotide ribosomal RNA is filed under the name uncultured bacterium. RNAcentral's name for it is "partial 16S ribosomal RNA". It matches the Rfam family "Bacterial small subunit ribosomal RNA", at positions 28 to 523 of the family's 1533-position model. The record is from RNAcentral.